AUUGAACGCUGGCGGCAGGCCUAACACAUGCAAGUCGAACGAGUGGCGGACGGGUGAGUAAUGUCUGGGAAACUGCCUGAUGGAGGGGGAUAACUACUGGAAACGGUAGCUAAUACCGCAUACCAUCGGAUGUGCCCAGAUGGGAUUAGCUAGUAGGUGGGGUAAAGGCUCACCUAGGCGACGAUCCCGAGCUGGUCUGAGAGGAUGACCAGCCACAUUGGAACUGGGCAACGGUCCAGACGCCAACGGGAGGAAGCAGUGGGGAAUAUUGGAGAAUGGGCGCAAUCCUGACGCAGACAUGCGGCGUGGAGGAAGAAGGCCUUCGGGUUGUAAAGUCCGUUGAGCGGGGAGGCGUUACCCACACAAGAAGCACCGGCUAACUCCGUGCCAGCAGCCGCGGUAAUAC
RNAcentral lists this ribosomal RNA (406 nucleotides) under uncultured bacterium. RNAcentral's name for it is "partial 16S ribosomal RNA". It matches the Rfam family "Bacterial small subunit ribosomal RNA", at positions 29 to 526 of the family's 1533-position model. The record is from RNAcentral.